GACGAACGCUGGCGGCGUGCUUAACACAUGCAAGUCGAACGGUAAGGCUCCAGCUUGCUGGGGUACACGAGUGGCGCACGGGUGAGUAACACGUGUGUGACCUGCCCUUCACUUCGGGAUAAGCCUGGGAAACUCGGUCUAAUAUCGGAUAGGACCGCACCGCGCGGGUGUGGUGGAAAUUUUUUUCGGUGUUGCAUGGGCCCGCGGGCUAUCAGCUUGUUGGUGGGGUAAUGGCCUACAAAGGCGGCGACGGGUAGCCGGCCUGUGAGGGUGGACGGCCACAUUGGGACUGAGAAAGGGGCCAGACUCAUACGGGAGGCAGCAGUGGGGAAUAGUGCACAAUGGGCGGAGGCCUGAUGCAGGGACGCCGGGUGGGGGAAGACGGCCUUCGGGUUGUAAACUCCUUUCAACAUCGACGAAGAGUUACUGACGGUAGAUGGAGAGAAAGCACCGGCUAACUACGUG
RNAcentral lists this ribosomal RNA (465 nucleotides) under uncultured bacterium. RNAcentral describes it as "partial 16S ribosomal RNA". It matches the Rfam family "Bacterial small subunit ribosomal RNA", at positions 28 to 507 of the family's 1533-position model. The record is from RNAcentral.